RNAcentral lists this ribosomal RNA (1439 nucleotides) under uncultured bacterium. RNAcentral's name for it is "bacterial SSU rRNA". It matches the Rfam family "Bacterial small subunit ribosomal RNA". The record is from RNAcentral.
AGGGUUUGAUCAUGGCUCAGAACGUACGCUGGCGGCACGCCUAACACAUGCAAGUCGAACGAAGUAGCAAUACUUAGUGGCAGACGGGUGAGUAACAUGUGGGUAUCUGCCCUUUGGCCUGGAAUAACACGAGGAAACUUGUGCUAAUACCGGAUAAGUCUUUACGGAGAAAGCUUUAUGCACCAUUGGAUGAGCCCGCACUUGAUUAGUUUGUUGGUGGGGUAAUGGCCUACCAAGACUGUGAUCAAUAGCUGAUUUGAGAGGAUGAUCAGCCACAUUGGGACUGAGACACGGCCCAAACUCCUACGGGAGGCAGCAGUGGGGAAUCUUGCACAAUGGAGGAAACUCUGAUGCAGCGAUGCCGCGUGAGUGAAGAAGGCCCUUGGGUUGUAAAGCUCUUUCGUCGGGGAAGAAAAUGACUGUACCCGAAUAAGAAGGUCCGGCUAACUUCGUGCCAGCAGCCGCGGUAAUACGAAGGGACCUAGCGUAGUUCGGAAUUACUGGGCUUAAAGAGUUCGUAGGUGGUUGAAAAAGUUAGUGGUGAAAUCCCAGAGCUUAACUCUGGAACUGCCAUUAAAACUUUUCAGCUAGAGUAUGAUAGAGGAAAGCAGAAUUUCUAGUGUAGAGGUGAAAUUCGUAGAUAUUAGAAAGAAUACCAAUUGCGAAGGCAGCUUUCUGGAUCAUUACUGACACUGAGGAACGAAAGCAUGGGUAGCGAAGAGGAUUAGAUACCCUCGUAGUCCAUGCCGUAAACGAUGUGUGUUAGACGUUGGAAAUUUAUUUUCAGUGUCGCAGCGAAAGCGAUAAACACACCGCCUGGGGAGUACGACCGCAAGGUUAAAACUCAAAUGAAUUGACGGGGACCCGCACAAGUAGUGGAGCAUGUGGUUUAAUUCGAAGAUACGCGCAGAACCUUACCAACACUUGACAUGUUCGUCGCGACUCUAAGAGAUUAGAGUUUUCGGUUCGGCCGGACGAAACACAGGUGCUGCAUGGCUGUCGUCAGCUCGUGUCGUGAGAUGUUGGGUUAAGUCCCGCAACGAGCGCAACCCUCACUUUUAGUUGCCAUCAUUAAGUUGGGCACUCUGAAAGAACUGCCAGUGAUAAGCUGGAGGAAGGUGGGGAUGACGUCAAGUCCUCAUGGCCCUUACGUGUUGGGCUACACACGUGCUACAAUGGUAUCUACAACAGGAAGCAAGACUGCGAGGUCAAGCAAAUCCUUAAAAGAUACCUCAGUUCGGAUUGCACUCUGCAACUCGAGUGCAUGAAGCUGGAAUUACUAGUAAUCGUGGAUCAGCGUGCCACGGUGAAUGCGUUCCCGGGUCUUGUACACACCGCCCGUCACACCAUGGGAGUUGGUUCUACCUUAAGGCAAGGUUUCAAACCCUUGACCACGGUAUAGUCAGCGACUGGGGUGAAGUCGUAACAAGGUAACCGUA